AUGCGGUGCGACCCGCGACUCUGUUUGACUACUAAGGGGUGGCUACAGGUGUUCUGCACCCUGGGUCCCCCAUUGUGUCGGAUGAGCCCGUCCUUGUGCGGUCUCCUCCUGGGCUUGUAACAAAACCCCGGCGCCUAAUGUUCCAAGGAAAUCAACAUUGUCUAGUGCGUCCCCGUUGGCACCGGAGACGGUGCCGCUGCGGGUGGCGUUGUGACACGCAUAUCCCAAAGACUCUCGGCAACGGAUAUCUCGGCUCUUGCAUCGAUGAACAACGUAGCGAAAUGCGAUACUUGGUGUGAAUUGCAGAAUCCCGUGAACCAGCUAGUCGUUGAACGCAAGUUGCGCCCGAAGCCAACAGGCCGAGGGCACGCCUGCCUGGGUGUCUCACAUCGUUGCCCCAAAUGCAUCGGCCUUGUGCUAGGCAUCUAGCGGGGCAAGUGUUGACUUCCCGCUAGCUAUGUCUCACGGUUGGUUGAAAAUUGAGUCCGUGGUGAGGGUGCCGCGAUGGAUGGUGGUCGAGUAAAAUCUAAAGAUCGAUCGUGCGCGUCACCCCUAUCGGAGUUGGGACUCUGUGACCCAUGAGCGCCUGUUGGUUGCCCAUGACGGGACCUCAGGUCAGGCGGGGCUACCCGCUGAGUUUAAGCAUAUCUAUAA
RNAcentral lists this ribosomal RNA (654 nucleotides) under Vuralia turcica. RNAcentral's name for it is "eukaryotic LSU rRNA". The stretch from base 230 to 385 matches the Rfam family "5.8S ribosomal RNA". Lineage: Eukaryota; Viridiplantae; Streptophyta; Magnoliopsida; Fabales; Fabaceae. The record is from RNAcentral.